CACGUAGGGGGCGAGCGUUGUCCGGAUUUAUUGGGCGUAAAGAGCUCGUAGGCGGUGUGUCACGUCGGCCGUGAAAACCUGCAGCUUAACUGUGGGCGUGCGGUCGAUACGGGCAUCACUGGAGUUCGGCAGGGGAGACUGGAAUUCCUGGUGUAGCGGUGAAAUGCGCAGAUAUCAAGCGGAACACCGGUGGCGAAGGCGGCCUUCUGGACAGUGACUGACGCUGAGACGCGAAAGCGUGGGGAGCAAACAGG
Molecule: ribosomal RNA, 254 nt
Filed under: uncultured bacterium
Lineage: Bacteria
Description: partial 16S ribosomal RNA
Rfam family: Bacterial small subunit ribosomal RNA
Source: RNAcentral